AUUGAACGCUGGCGGCAGGCCUAACACAUGCAAGUCGAACGGUAACAGGAAGCGGCUUGCUGCUUUGCUGACGAGAGGCGGACGGGUGAGUAAUGUCUGGGAAACUGCCUGAUGGAGGGGGAUAACUACUGGAAACGGUAGCUAUUACCGCAUAACGUCGCAACACCAAAGAGGGGGACCUUCGCGCCUCUUGCCCUCGUAUGUGCCCAGAUGGGAUUAGCUAGUAGGUGGGGUAACGGCUCACCUAGGCGACGAUCCGUAGCUGGUCUGAGAGGAUGAUCAGCCACACUGGAACUGAGACACGGUCCAGACUCCUACGGGAGGCAGCAGUGGGGAAUAUUGGACAAUGGGCGCAAGCCUGAUGCAGCCAUGCCGCGUGUAUGAAGAAGGCCUUCGGGUUGUAAAGUCCUUUUAGCGGGGAAGAAGAGAGUAAAGUUAAUACCUUGCCUCAUUGACGUUACCCGAAGAAGAAGCACCGGCUAACUCCGUG
This 490-nucleotide ribosomal RNA is filed under the name uncultured bacterium. RNAcentral describes it as "partial 16S ribosomal RNA". It matches the Rfam family "Bacterial small subunit ribosomal RNA", at positions 30 to 507 of the family's 1533-position model. The record is from RNAcentral.